RNAcentral lists this unclassified non-coding RNA (212 nucleotides) under Hevea brasiliensis (rubber tree). The record is from RNAcentral. Lineage: Eukaryota; Viridiplantae; Streptophyta; Magnoliopsida; Malpighiales; Euphorbiaceae.
CUUCCCACUUUCAAGUAGCUGUCCAAAAUGCAGUCCAAUAUCUGAUGGAGAUAGAGGAAUGGAGUAUGUUUUAGGUCCUUCGGUGUGAGACCUCACUACACCAACACAGCAAUGAACUUGCAGGCAAUCAUCCUUCAGGUAAUCAGAUGAUUCUAAAGCGGUUCUUUUAAAAAAUCGCUUAUAUCCCCACAUGCUUCCACGGUAUUUAAGAG